GGAUGUGAGGGUGAUCUGGCUGUGACAUCUGUCACCCCAUUCAUUGCCAGGGUUGAUUCGGCUGAUCUGGCUGGCUAGGCCAGUGUUCCCUUCUUCCCUUACCAUUCCAUGUGUGUCCCUCCCGAAGCUGCACUCAUUCAAAGAGGACGACCUUCCCCGAAUAGAGGAGGACCGGUCUUCGGUCAAGGGUAUACGAGUAGUUGCGCUCCUCUGCUAGAACCUCCAAACAAGCUCUCAAGAUGUAAAGCUGGCAGGCAUAUUGGGCAUGCCUUUAAUCUCAGCACUUCAAUGAAGGAGCAGGCAGAUCUCCGUGAGUU
Molecule: small nuclear RNA, 317 nt
Filed under: Peromyscus maniculatus bairdii (prairie deer mouse)
Lineage: Eukaryota; Metazoa; Chordata; Mammalia; Rodentia; Cricetidae
Description: 7SK RNA (ENSPEMG00000002634.2)
Rfam family: 7SK RNA
About the family: 7SK was discovered as an abundant small nuclear RNA in the mid-70s but a possible function has only recently been suggested.
Source: RNAcentral